This 465-nucleotide ribosomal RNA is filed under the name uncultured bacterium. RNAcentral describes it as "partial 16S ribosomal RNA". It matches the Rfam family "Bacterial small subunit ribosomal RNA", at positions 28 to 507 of the family's 1533-position model. The record is from RNAcentral.
GACGAACGCUGGCGGCGUGCUUAACACAUGCAAGUCGAACGGAAAGGCCCCUUUGGGGGUACUCGAGUGGCGAACGGGUGAGUAACACGUGAGUAACCUUCCCUUGACUUCGGGAUAACUUCAGGAAACUGGGGCUAAUACCGGAUAGGAAUCCUUGCUGCAUGGUGGGGGUUGGAAAGCUUCGGCGGUUUUGGAUGGACUCGCGGCUUAUCAGCUUGUUGGUGGGGUAGUGGCUUACCAAGGCUUUGACGGGUAGCCGGCCUGAGAGGGCGACCGGCCACAUUGGGACUGGGAUACGGCCCAGACUCCUACGGGAGGCAGCAGUGGGGAAUAUUGAACAAGGGGCGGAAGCCUGAUGCAGCAACGCCGCGUGCGGGAUGACGGACUUCGGGUUGGAAACCGCUUUCAGCAGGGGCGAAGCUUGUGGUGACGGUACCUGCAGAAGAAGCACCGGCUAACUACGUG